UACAGAGGUCUCAAGCGUUGUUCGGAUUCAUUGGGCGUAAAGGGUGCGCAGGCGGUGAGAUAAGUCGGACGUGAAAUCCCGGGGCUCAACCUUGGAACUGCGUUCGAUACUGUCUUGCUAGAGGACUGGAGAGGAGACUGGAAUUCCUGGUGUAGCAGUGAAAUGCGUAGAUAUCAGGAGGAACGCCAAUGGCGAAGGCAAGUCUCUGGACAGUUCCUGACGCUCAUGCACGAAGGCCAGGGGAG
RNAcentral lists this ribosomal RNA (245 nucleotides) under uncultured bacterium. Its description in RNAcentral is "partial 16S ribosomal RNA". It matches the Rfam family "Bacterial small subunit ribosomal RNA", at positions 524 to 768 of the family's 1533-position model. The record is from RNAcentral.